Molecule: ribosomal RNA, 484 nt
Filed under: uncultured bacterium
Lineage: Bacteria
Description: partial 16S ribosomal RNA
Rfam family: Bacterial small subunit ribosomal RNA
Source: RNAcentral
AUUGAACGCUGGCGGCAGGCCUAACACAUGCAAGUCGAGCGGAUGCAGGGAGCUUGCUCCUGGAUACAGCGGCGGACGGGCGAGUAAUGCCGAGGAAUCUGCCUGGCAGUGGGGGAUAACGUCCGGACACGGGCGCUAAUACCGCAUACGCCCUUAGGGCGAACGGGGGGGAUCUUGGGACCUCACGCUCUCAGAUGAUCCUAGGUCGGAUUAGCUAGUUGGUGGGGUAAAGGCCUACCAAGGCGACGAUCCGUAACUGGUCUGAGAGGAUGAUCAGUCACACUGGAACUGAGACACGGUCCAGACUCCUACGGGAGGCAGCAGUGGGGAAUAUUGGACAAUGGGCGAAAGCCUGAUCCAGCCAUGCCGCGUGUGUGAAGAAGGUCUUCGGAUUGUAAAGCACUUUAAGUUGGGAGGAAGGGCAGUAGGUUAAUACCUUGCUGUUUUGACGUUACCAACAGAAUAAGCACCGGCUAACUUCGUG